RNAcentral lists this ribosomal RNA (608 nucleotides) under Candidatus Mycoplasma haematoparvum. RNAcentral's name for it is "bacterial SSU rRNA". It matches the Rfam family "Bacterial small subunit ribosomal RNA", at positions 146 to 746 of the family's 1533-position model. Lineage: Bacteria; Bacillati; Mycoplasmatota; Mollicutes; Mycoplasmatales; Mycoplasmataceae. The record is from RNAcentral.
GCAAUCGAAAGGGUUAUUAAUAUUUCAUAGGUUUAAGACUUAAAUUAAAGGGGGCGUUCCUUCGGGAGCCCCGCGCGUAAAUAGGAAUAUGUCCUAUUAGGUUGUUGGUAGGGUAAAUGCCUACCAAGCCGUUGAUGGGUAGCUGGGCUGAGAGGCCGACCAGCCGCAAUGGGAUUGAAAUAUGGCCCAUAUUCCUACGGGAAGCAGCAGUGAGGAAUUUUUCACAAUGGACGAAAGUCUGAUGGAGCAAUACCACGUGAACGAUGAAGAUCUUCUGAUUGUAAAGUUCUUUUAUUUAGGAAAAAAAGCUUGAUAGGAAAUGAUUAAGCCUUGAUCGUACUAAAUGAAUAAGUGACAGCUAACUAUGUGCCAGCAGCUGCGGUAAAACAUAGGUCACGAGCAUUAUCCGGAUUUAUUGGGCGUAAAGGAAGCGUAGGCGGACAAGUUGAUCUAUUGUGAAAAGCACUUGCUCAACAAGUUGUUUGUGAUAGAUAUCACUUGUCUAGAAUUAGUUAGGAGAUACUGGAAUUCAAUGUGUAGCGGUGGAAUGCGUAGAUAUAUUGAGGAACACCAGAGGCUAAGGCGAGUAUCUAGAACGUUUGUUUGGC